Molecule: ribosomal RNA, 115 nt
Filed under: bacterium
Lineage: Bacteria
Source: RNAcentral
CGCGGUGUCUAUACCGGUGGGGUCACACCUCUUCCCAUCUCGAACAGAGUCGUUAAGCUCACCAGGGCCCAUGGUACUUGGGGUUACACCCAGGGAGAGUAGGUCGGUGCCGCGA